GUAUAGACCCGAAACCCGGUGAUCUAGCCAUGGGCAGGUUGAAGGUUGGGUAACACUAACUGGAGGACCGAACCGACUAAUGUUGAAAAAUUAGCGGAUGACCUGUGGCUGGGGGUGAAAGGCCAAUCAAACCGGGAGAUAGCUGGUUCUCCCCGAAAGCUAUUUAGGUAGCGCCUCGUGAGUUCAUCUCCGGGGGUAGAGCACUGUUUCGGCCAGGGGGCCAUCCCGGCUUACCAACCCGAUGCAAACUGCGAAUACCGGAGAAUGUUAUCACGGGAGACACACGGCGGGUGCUAACGUCCGUCGUGAAGAGGGAAACAACCCAGACCGCCAGCUAAGGUCCCAAAGUCAUGGUUAAGUGGGAAACGAUGUGGGAAGGCCCAGACAGCCAGGAUGUUGGCUUAGAAGCAGCCAUCAUUUAAAGAAAGCGUAAUAGCUCACUGGUCGAGUCGGCCUGCGCGGAAGAUGUAACGGGGCUAAACCAUGCACCGAAGCUGCGGCAGCGANNGUUGGGUAGGGGAGCGUUCUGUAAGCCUGCGAAGGUGGCCUGUGAGGGUUGCUGGAGGUAUCAGAAGUGCGAAUGCUGACAUAAGUAACGAUAAUGCGGGUGAAAAACCCGCACGCCGGAAGACCAAGGGUUCCUGUCCAACGUUAAUCGGGGCAGGGUGAGUCGACCCCUAAGGCGAGGCCGAAAGGCGUAGUCGAUGGGAAACAGGUUAAUAUUCCUGUACCUGGUGUUACUGCGAAGGGGGGACGGAGAAGGCUAUGUUGGCCGGGCGACGGUUGUCCCGGUUUAAGCGUGUAGGCUGGUUUUCCAGGCAAAUCCGGAAAAUCAAGGCUGAGGCGUGACGACGAGGCACUACGGUGCUGAAGCAACAAAUGCCCUGCUUCCAGGAAAAGCCUCUAAGCCUCAGGUAACAUCAGAUCGUACCCGAAACCGACACAGGUGGUCAGGUAGAGAAUACCAAGGCGCUUGAGAGAACCCGGGUGAAGGAACUAGGCAAAAUGGUGCCGUAACUUCGGGAGAAGGCACGCUGACACGUAGGUGAAGCGGUUUACCCGUGAAGCCGAAGUCAGUCGAAGAUACCAGCUGGCUGCAACUGUUUAUUAAAAACACAGCACUGUGCAAACACGAAAGUGGACGUAUACGGUGUGACGCCUGCCCGGUGCCGGAAGGUUAAUUGAUGGGGUCAGCGCAAGCGAAGCUCCUGAUCGAAGCCCCGGUAAACGGCGGCCGUAACUAUAACGGUCCUAAGGUAGCGAAAUUCCUUGUCGGGUAAGUUCCGACCUGCACGAAUGGCGUAAUGAUGGCCAGGCUGUCUCCACCCGGGACUCAGUGAAAUUGAACUCGCUGUGAAGAUGCAGUGUACCCGCGGCAAGACGGAAAGACCCCGUGAACCUUUACUAUAGCUUGACACUGAACACUGGUCCUUGAUGUGCAGGAUAGGUGGGAGGCUUUGAAGUGUGGACGCCAGUCUGCAUGGAGCCGUCCUUGAAAUACCACCCUUUAAUGGCUGGUGUUCUAACGUAGACCCGUGAACCGGGUUGCGGACAGUGUCUGGUGGGUAGUUUGACUGGGGCGGUCUCCUCCUAAAGCGUAACGGAGGAGCACGAAGGUUGGCUAAUCCUGGUCGGACAUCAGGAGGUUAGUGCAAUGGCAUAAGCCAGCUUGACUGCGAGCGUGACGGCGCGAGCAGGUGCGAAAGCAGGUCAUAGUGAUCCGGUGGUUCUGAAUGGAAGGGCCAUCGCUCAACGGAUAAAAGGUACUCCGGGGAUAACAGGCUGAUACCGCCCAAGAGUUCAUAUCGACGGCGGUGUUUGGCACCUCGAUGUCGGCUCAUCACAUCCUGGGGCUGAAGUAGGUCCCAAGGGUAUGGCUGUUCGCCAUUUAAAGUGGUACGCGAGCUGGGUUUAGAACGUCGUGAGACAGUUCGGUCCCUAUCUGCCGUGGGCGCUGGAGAACUGAGGGGGGCUGCUCCUAGUACGAGAGGACCGGAGUGGACGCAUCACUGGUGUUCGGGUUGUCAUGCCAAUGGCACUGCCCGGUAGCUAAAUGCGGAAGAGAUAAGUGCUGAAAGCAUCUAAGCACGAAACUUGCCCCGAGAUGAGUUCUCCCUGAGACUACAAGUCUCCUGAAGGAACGUUGAAGACGACGACGUUGAUAGGCCGGGUGUGUAAGCGCAGCGAUGCGUUGAGCUAACCGGUACUAAUGAACCGUGAGGCUUAACCUUACAACGCCGAAG
This 2243-nucleotide ribosomal RNA is filed under the name Salmonella enterica subsp. arizonae serovar 18:z4,z23:- str. CVM 43478. Its description in RNAcentral is "bacterial LSU rRNA". It matches the Rfam family "Bacterial large subunit ribosomal RNA", at positions 707 to 2925 of the family's 2925-position model. Lineage: Bacteria; Pseudomonadati; Pseudomonadota; Gammaproteobacteria; Enterobacterales; Enterobacteriaceae. The record is from RNAcentral.